GAUGAAGAACGUAGCGAAAUGCGAUAAGUAAUGCGAAUUGCAGAAUUUCCGUGAGUCAUCGAAUCUUUGAACGCACAUUGCGCCCUUUGGUAUUCCUUAGGGCAUGCCUGUUCGAGCGUCAUUUAAACCUUCAAGCCCUGCUUGGUGUUGGGUGCCUGUCCCGCCUCCGCGCGUGGACUCACCUCAAAUCCAUUGGCGGCCCCCGCACGGCCACGAGCGCAGCAGAAACGCAAACUCGUGCCCCGACCGGGCGGCUCCCAGAAGCUACACUCACCAUUUUGACCUCGGAUCAGGUAGGGAUACCCGCUGAACUUAAGCAUAUCAAUAAGCGGAGGA
This 336-nucleotide unclassified non-coding RNA is filed under the name soil metagenome. Its description in RNAcentral is "partial contains 5.8S ribosomal RNA, internal transcribed spacer 2, and large subunit ribosomal RNA". The stretch from base 1 to 121 matches the Rfam family "5.8S ribosomal RNA", at positions 35 to 154 of the family's 154-position model. The record is from RNAcentral.